RNAcentral lists this unclassified non-coding RNA (595 nucleotides) under Hevea brasiliensis (rubber tree). The record is from RNAcentral. Lineage: Eukaryota; Viridiplantae; Streptophyta; Magnoliopsida; Malpighiales; Euphorbiaceae.
AGUGCCGGUCCAGCCCAUAGGUUGGGUCGUGACAUUAACAAAUGAAGUAGCGUAUUCCGUGAAUGUCAAUCGCAGGGGAAGGUUGCUGUGGCUCCAGCUCCUGUCUGAACACCACUGUAAAGCUUGAGGUCACUGGUUCCAAUGGGCAGGGCAUGACAUCCUUAUGAGAUUGCACCUUCUUACGUCUUCCUGGUGUCCAACAAGUGUCCCUCCUACUUCUUUGCUCACUGGCCAAGUUCUGCAUCCUCUCAGGCAAUAAAAAAAAGUUCUGCAUCCCAACGGUGUAUGUAUUUGAAUUCAGCUUUGAACUCAUACUAACUAUUUUUCAGUUACUCUUGAACAUUUGGUCCUAUUUAUACUGCAUGAGGAAUGAUAUCAAUGGUUGAUCCUGCUUGUUACUCAUCUUCUUCGAUCCGCUAGAUACACCGUUCAAUUAGAAAGGGAAAGAAGAGUCUUGAUUGAGUUUUAGAAGUGCCAAUGAUUUUCUAGAUUUUAUUAUAAUCUAUAAUGCGUUCGUGUGACUGCACUCCGGUUAACCACGCAAUUACCUAAGCAUGCAUAUAUUAUCUUGCGCCCUCUAAGGCUUUAUUUACUU